GAUGAACGCUAGCUACAGGCUUAACACAUGCAAGUCGAGGGGCAGCAUGGGAUUAGCUUGCUAAUCCUGAUGGCGACCGGCGCACGGGUGCGUAACGCGUAUCCAACCUGCCCUCUACUCCGGAACAGCCCGUCGAAAGGCGGAUUAAUGCCGGAUGGUGUCAGAUGCCCGCAUGGGCGUGCGACUAAAGGCAACGGUAGAGGAUGGGGAUGCGACUGAUUAGCUUGUUGGCGGGGUAACGGCCCACCAAGGCUACGAUCAGUAGGGGUUCUGAGAGGAAGGUCCCCCACAUUGGAACUGAGACACGGUCCAAACUCCUACGGGAGGCAGCAGUGAGGAAUAUUGGUCAAUGGGCGAGAGCCUGAACCAGCCAAGUAGCGUGCGGGACGACGGCCCUAUGGGGUUGUAAAACCGCUUUUGAUUGGGAACAAAGAGCGCCACGUGUGGUGCGUUGCGUGUACCUUUCGAAUAAGCAUCGGCUAAUUCCGUGCCAGCAG
RNAcentral lists this ribosomal RNA (497 nucleotides) under uncultured bacterium. Its description in RNAcentral is "bacterial SSU rRNA". It matches the Rfam family "Bacterial small subunit ribosomal RNA", at positions 28 to 514 of the family's 1533-position model. The record is from RNAcentral.